RNAcentral lists this ribosomal RNA (451 nucleotides) under uncultured bacterium. Its description in RNAcentral is "partial 16S ribosomal RNA". It matches the Rfam family "Bacterial small subunit ribosomal RNA", at positions 355 to 798 of the family's 1533-position model. The record is from RNAcentral.
UAGGGAAUCUUCCACAAUGGACGCAAGUCUGAUGGAGCAACGCCGCGUGAGUGAAGAAGGUUUUCGGACCGUAAAGCUCUGUUGUUGGUGAAGAAGGAUAGAGGUAGUAACUGGCCUUUAUUUGACGGUAAUCAACCAGAAAGUCACGGCUAACUACGUGCCAGCAGCCGCGGUAAUACGUAGGUGGCAAGCGUUGUCCGGAUUUAUUGGGCGUAAAGCGAGCGCAGGCGGAAGAAUAAGUCUGAUGUGAAAGCCCUCGGCUUAACCGAGGAAUUGCAUCGGAAACUGUUUUCUUGAGUGCAGAAGAGGAGAGUAGAACUCCAUGUGUAGCGGUGGAAUGCGUAGAUAUAUGGAAGAAUACCAGUGGCGAAGGCGGCUCUCUGGUCUGCAACUGACGCUGAGGCUCGAAAGCAUGGGUAGCGAACAGGGUUUAGAUACCCUGGUAGUCCAU